UACGUAGGGUGCAAGCGUUAAUCGGAAUUACUGGGCGUAAAGCGUGCGCAGGCGGUUUUGUAAGUCUGACGUGAAAUCCCCGGGCUCAACCUGGGAAUUGCGUUGGAGACCGCAAGGCUAGAAUCUGGCAGAGGGGGGUAGAAUUCCACGUGUAGCAGUGAAAUGCGUAGAGAUGUGGAGGAACACCGAUGGCGAAGGCAGCCCCCUGGGUCAAGAUUGACGCUCAUGCACGAAAGCGUGGGGAGCAAACAGG
Molecule: ribosomal RNA, 253 nt
Filed under: uncultured bacterium
Lineage: Bacteria
Description: partial 16S ribosomal RNA
Rfam family: Bacterial small subunit ribosomal RNA
Source: RNAcentral